GCCGCCUCUCGUGCGCUCUCCCUUCCUCUAGCGUCUCUUCACCUCAAGCCCGCAGACGUCAAGAUGGCGAUGGCGAAGUUAUCCGACAAGGUGUAUGAGUUCGAGACCAUAGAUGUAAAGCCAGAAUUCUACAAUCCGAACCCUAAAUCAGCCGUUUCAACAAGGUGUGGCAUGAGAAGCACCCGGAGUAUCCGCUCGUGGCGCAGUGGUCCGGUCCCCGAUGCCGGCGACGCACUCAAGCUGAUUAGCCUGUACGAGUUCCAGAGCCACAAAAAAGAGGUGCCGAGCUGCGGUAAGAA
This is a long non-coding RNA of Priapulus caudatus, 299 nucleotides long. RefSeq lists it as uncharacterized. The transcript has 3 exons. The record is from RefSeq and is a predicted model, not a curated record. NCBI's taxonomy places the organism in Eukaryota, Metazoa, Priapulida, Priapulimorpha, Priapulimorphida, Priapulidae.